This 911-nucleotide ribosomal RNA is filed under the name Rhodotorula mucilaginosa. RNAcentral describes it as "LSU rRNA". It matches the Rfam family "Eukaryotic large subunit ribosomal RNA", at positions 34 to 966 of the family's 3401-position model. The record is from RNAcentral. Lineage: Eukaryota; Fungi; Basidiomycota; Microbotryomycetes; Sporidiobolales; Sporidiobolaceae.
UUAAGCAUAUCAAUAAGCGGAGGAAAAGAAACUAACAAGGAUUCCCCUAGUAGCGGCGAGCGAAGCGGGAAGAGCUCAAAUUUAUAAUCUGGCACCUUCGGUGUCCGAGUUGUAAUCUCUAGAAAUGUUUUCCGCGUUGGACCGCACACAAGUCUGUUGGAAUACAGCGGCAUAGUGGUGAGACCCCCGUAUAUGGUGCGGACGCCCAGCGCUUUGUGAUACAUUUUCGAAGAGUCGAGUUGUUUGGGAAUGCAGCUCAAAUUGGGUGGUAAAUUCCAUCUAAAGCUAAAUAUUGGCGAGAGACCGAUAGCGAACAAGUACCGUGAGGGAAAGAUGAAAAGCACUUUGGAAAGAGAGUUAACAGUACGUGAAAUUGUUGGAAGGGAAACGCUUGAAGUCAGACUUGCUUGCCGAGCAAUCGGUUUGCAGGCCAGCAUCAGUUUUCCGGGAUGGAUAAUGGUAGAGAGAAGGUAGCAGUUUCGGCUGUGUUAUAGCUCUCUGCUGGAUACAUCUUGGGGGACUGAGGAACGCAGUGUGCCUUUGGCGGGGGUUUCGACCUCUUCACACUUAGGAUGCUGGUGGAAUGGCUUUAAACGACCCGUCUUGAAACACGGACCAAGGAGUCUAACAUGCUUGCGAGUAUUUGGGUGUCAAACCCGGAUGCGUAAUGAAAGUGAAUGGAGGUGGGAACCGCAAGGUGCACCAUCGACCGAUCUGGAUUUUUAAUGAUGGAUUUGAGUAAGAGCACGUAUGUUGGGACCCGAAAGAUGGUGAACUAUGCCUGAAUAGGGCGAAGCCAGAGGAAACUCUGGUGGAGGCUCGUAGCGGUUCUGACGUGCAAAUCGAUCGUCAAAUUUGGGUAUAGGGGCGAAAGACUAAUCGAACCAUCUAGUAGCUGGUUCCUGCCGAAG